RNAcentral lists this ribosomal RNA (1368 nucleotides) under Alexandrium pseudogonyaulax. RNAcentral describes it as "LSU rRNA". It matches the Rfam family "Eukaryotic large subunit ribosomal RNA", at positions 71 to 1399 of the family's 3401-position model. Lineage: Eukaryota; Dinophyceae; Gonyaulacales; Pyrocystaceae. The record is from RNAcentral.
GGGAUUCCUUAAGUAAUUGCGAAUGAAAAAGGAUAUGCUCAGCUUGAAAAUUGAAGCUUCUGGUUUUGAAUUGUAGUUUUGAAAUGUAUUGCCGAUGGAGGUGCAGGUGUAAGCCUGUUGGAAAACAGUGUCAGUGAGGGUGAGGUGCCUUUUUGUCAUUUGCAGUCCUCCAAGCACGGUAUAUAUUUGACGAGUCACACUCCUUGGCAUUGGAAUGCAAAGUGGGUGGUAAAUUCCAUGAAAAGGGAAAUACAUUUUUGAGACUGAUAGCAAACAAGUACCAUGAGGGAAAUAUGAAAAGGACUUUGAAAAGAGAAUUAAAAGAGUCUGCAUUUGCUGAACAGAAAGCAAACAGAAUGAAUUCUGCUUGGUUAGAUUAUUGUGCCGUCUGCUUUGCUUUUGUGUUGCAUCAGGGUGCAAUGGUUCUUUCCUUGAAUGCCAGCUUUAUUUCUGCAAAUCGUAAUCUUUGUGCAUGAAUGGAAAUACGUCUGCGGGUAUUGGAUUGCAUGUGUUUGUGGUGAUUUGUGAUUUACCUAUAUGUGUGUCUUGUGUUGGUAGCUUGUGAGCUUAAGGGUUGUUUUCAUUCUUGAGCAUGGGAAAACCUUGAUUGCAUAUUUGCUGGCAACAUGUUUCUGCUUGACCCGUCUUGAAACACGGACCAAGGAGUCUAACAGAUGUGCAAAUUUGUGGGUGGGCAAACCUGUUUGUGAAAUGAAAGUAUUGGCUGGGAUACUUGCACCAGCAGCCGACCAAUUGGCAGACAGAGGUUUGAGCUUGAGCAUAUCUAUUAGGACCCGAAAGAUGGUGAACUAUGCCUGAACAGAAUGAAUUCAGAGGAAACUCUGAUGGAGGUUCGUAUCGUUACUGACGUGCAAAUCGUUCGUCAUACUUGGGUAUAGGGGCGAAAGACUAAUCGAACCAUCUAGUAGCUGGUUCCCUCCGAAGUUUCCCUCAGGAUAGCUGGAGUUGCACAGUUUUAUCAGGUAAAGCGAAUGAUUAGAGGAAUUGGGGGCAUGCUGUCCUUGACCUAUUCUCAAACUUUAAAUGGGUAAGAUGCAAUGGUUGCUUUUUUGAACUUUUGGAAUAAAUGGCAAUAUCAAGUGGGCCAUUUUUGGUAAGCAGAACUGGCGAUGAGGGAUGAACCUAACGUUGGGUUAAGGUGCUUAAUUGCUUGCUCAUUAGAUACCAGAAAGGGUGUUGGUUCAUUUAAACAGCAGGACGGUGGUCAUGGAAGUCGAAAUCCGCUAAGGAGUGUGUAACAACUCACCUGCCGAAUGGACUAGCCCCGAAAAUGGAUGGCGCUCAAGCGGGUGACCGAUACCCAACCACUGUUUCAAACAUAUCAGUGUGUAGGAGGGCAUGGAAGUU